This 328-nucleotide long non-coding RNA is filed under the name Coturnix japonica (Japanese quail). Its description in RNAcentral is "lncRNA (ENSCJPG00005020854.1)". The record is from RNAcentral. Lineage: Eukaryota; Metazoa; Chordata; Aves; Galliformes; Phasianidae.
GACACAUUCUUCUCUUUCUAGGUGAACUCCUCAUAGAACAGGAGUGGGAAGUUUAAAAGAAAUUAGUUUGCCACUAAUGAACUUCAGUACUGAUGUCUGGAACAACAGAGAGACCUGCUUUAUAACACCAACAGUCACAUCUUCCUACCCCCUGAACCAAUUGAGAAUUUUGCUAUCAAUGCCAGGCUUAUUAACCCUAAGUCUUUUAUAUGGUUUUGUAUGGGGAAAGACAAAAAAAGAAGAAAAAAGCCUCGUGGAAGUCCAAGUCAAUUAUGUCUGCUGCCUCAGCCUGUCAGCUCUCAUCAUCACCUCCACUCCAAGGAGUUAA